Molecule: ribosomal RNA, 441 nt
Filed under: uncultured soil bacterium
Lineage: Bacteria
Description: bacterial SSU rRNA
Rfam family: Bacterial small subunit ribosomal RNA
Source: RNAcentral
AGAACGAACGCUGGCGGCAUGCCUAACACAUGCAAGUCGAACGAGACCUUCGGGUCUAGUGGCGCACGGGUGCGUAACGCGUGGGAAUCUGCCCUUGGGUUCGGGAUAACAGUUGGAAACGACUGCUAAUACCGGAUGAUGACUUCGGUCCAAAGAUUUAUCGCCCAGGGAUGAGCCCGCGUAGGAUUAGCUUGUUGGUGAGGUAAGAGCUCACCAAGGCGACGAUCCUUAGCUGGUCUGAGAGGAUGAUCAGCCACACUGGGACUGAGACACGGCCCAGACUCCUACGGGAGGCAGCAGUGGGGAAUAUUGGACAAUGGGCGAAAGCCUGAUCCAGCAAUGCCGCGUGAGUGAUGAAGGCCUUAGGGUUGUAAAGCUCUUUACCCGGAUGAUAAUGACAGUACCGGAGAAUAAGCCCGCUAACUCCGUGCCAGCAGCCGC